CGGAUACUGUCUUGCGCGUCAGGUUAGCGAUGCCCAGGGGCCUUAAUGGUACUCACCGGGAGCUGUCCCUGACCGGGGCCGUGGUCCUGGUCAUAUGGCGCCCACCUGCACUGCAGGCCCGUGAGGAUCCAAACACCAACGGCAAGUACGGUUCCGUC
Molecule: non-coding RNA, 158 nt
Organism: Alphaproteobacteria bacterium 65-7
Lineage: Bacteria; Pseudomonadati; Pseudomonadota; Alphaproteobacteria
Source: Rfam